Molecule: ribosomal RNA, 588 nt
Filed under: Larsia sp. ARGT5.6
Lineage: Eukaryota; Metazoa; Arthropoda; Insecta; Diptera; Chironomidae
Description: eukaryotic LSU rRNA
Rfam family: Eukaryotic large subunit ribosomal RNA
Source: RNAcentral
UUCAAUACUGCUCUUAAAAGGCAGUGUGCACUUUUCCCUUAGUAAGACGUUGUGAUCCAUUAGGAAUCGAGAGUGCAUCAUGUGCUCUCAAUAGGUUGCCAAUAGGCCGGCAUUGAAGUUCUCAAUGACAAACAACACAAUCUUCUGGUUGGGUAUAUUGUCUUGUGAGCGUGUCGUUUUCUGAUGCAACUGCCUGAUGGAUAUUAGAGGCCACAUCACUGAUGCUUGCAUCACCCGUACGCCGGGAAUUGCGAUGUGUGCCCGAUCAACAACGGUUUCAUUUGGGAUACCUUUGGGACCCGUCUUGAAACACGGACCAAGGAGUCUAUCUAGUAUGCAAGUAAAUGGGAACGUAAACCUAUUUGCGUAAAAAACUUGACUGUAAUAUAAUGGGAUUACGUGUGGAUUGCUUUAUUGUGUCUGCACCUCCAUCCCGGGGUAUUUACACCACAUAUGUGAGCAAUUGCAUAUAGUAAAUAUACCAUGAGCAUACUGGACAUGACCCGAAAGAUGGUGAACUAUGCCUGAUCAGGUUGAAGUCAGGGGAAACCCUGAUGGAGGACCGAAGCAAUUCUGACGUGCAAAUCG